CACACCGCCCGUCACGCCAUGGAAGUGGCGAGUGCCCGAAGUCCGUGUCGGAACCCGCAAGGGACCAAGCGGCCGAAGGCAAGCGUCAUGACUGGGGCG
RNAcentral lists this ribosomal RNA (99 nucleotides) under uncultured bacterium. RNAcentral's name for it is "partial 16S ribosomal RNA". It matches the Rfam family "Bacterial small subunit ribosomal RNA", at positions 1386 to 1482 of the family's 1533-position model. The record is from RNAcentral.